GUCUACAGCCAUACCACCUUGAACGCACCCAAUCUCGUCUGAUCUUGGAAGCUAAGCAGGGUUGGGCCUGGUUAGUACUUGGGUAGGAAAUCAGAGAAGCAGUUUAUU
RNAcentral lists this ribosomal RNA (108 nucleotides) under Propithecus coquereli (Coquerel's sifaka). The record is from RNAcentral. Lineage: Eukaryota; Metazoa; Chordata; Mammalia; Primates; Indriidae.